RNAcentral lists this transfer RNA (84 nucleotides) under subsurface metagenome. RNAcentral describes it as "tRNA-Ser". The record is from RNAcentral.
UGCCCGGGUUGGACAAUGGUGGUCUACGUGGCUCGAACCCACGUUUCUGAAAAGAUAUCCAGGUUCGAUUCCUGGUCCGGGCGU